Molecule: unclassified non-coding RNA, 223 nt
Filed under: Hevea brasiliensis (rubber tree)
Lineage: Eukaryota; Viridiplantae; Streptophyta; Magnoliopsida; Malpighiales; Euphorbiaceae
Source: RNAcentral
GGGCCAAUAUCGACAAGGUCUUAGACAUGGAUUUGGAGUAUACAAGUUCUUCACGGGGGAUUCCUAUGCCGGUGAGUGGUGCAAUGGCCAAAGCCACGGCGUUGGGUUUCAGACUUGCGCUGAUGGUAGCUGCUAUGUUGGCGAGUUCAAGCGCGGCGUUAAGCAUGGUCUUGGAUGUUACUAUUUCAGAAAUGGAGAUAGAUACGCUGGAGAAUACUUCGGG